Long non-coding RNA from Octopus bimaculoides (California two-spot octopus), 1451 nucleotides. Lineage: Eukaryota; Metazoa; Mollusca; Cephalopoda; Octopoda; Octopodidae. The record is from RefSeq and is a predicted model, not a curated record.
UGCCUUGCAGAAGAAGGUGGAAGGCUUCAGAUAUUGGAAAGUAUGUGCUAAGUGGGUACUACUGUAGAUGAUAAUCAAGCUGAAGAAGAGAAGAGUGGAAGCCUUCUUCGAUCUGUAGAAAGCAUUAAAAGCCAAUGAGGAAUCCCCGAUCUGCAAAAGGACCUAAUCCAGGUAAUAAGUCAAUACGUACUGACAGAAUAAUUGCUAACCACCCACUCUCUCUACCUACCACCCCCACUUCAAAAAAAUGUAUACAUCACACAAGUUUGUCACAUCCGGUCCCUUCCUUUGGACGCAUCCGGAUUGCUUUCCUACGAGGACAUAGCUAACAUACUAUACAAAGGAGUUAUUUAUUUCCGCAUCAUUUGACAAUAAACUAUCAAUCCUCUUCUUUUCCCUCUCAGAAUGAAUACACAAUAUCUUAUGUUUGUUUCGUUAUGGAAAACAUUUUUACGUCAAACUGAACUUCCUGACACAUUUCACAAAACAUGCAAAUUGAAAUUAAAAAAAGAAACAUGUUACAUUUUCUAUGAAUGGUAAUCUAAAAAAGGAAAUGAAAUAAAAUGUAUUUAUAGUACAUCGUUUAUUGACUUUAAUUAUCUUCUUGCGAGUAUAAUAAAUAGUUGUCUCCGGGGAGGAAAGAGCGCUGGUUAUAACCCAUUAUUUCUUCAGAAAGAAACAAGUUAUCCUCAAAUCGGAGACCUGGUCUAAACGCUUGCAGCAGAGUGAACUCCGACAAAGUCACCUAAGGGCCAGACGGUGGUGUUAAAUCGAGGGACUGAUUAAGCCUACCACCCAAGAACUCAGAAUGUAUAGAGCGACUAGCGUAGCUAGAGUGUCUAUUGCCCUGGAUGGCCCUUCAGUUUACCCCACAAAAAAUACAUAUUGCUUACAGCGGACCCAAGAGUAGUUCCGCCCGGGGCGUACCUCGCCCUUUAGCUAAGACAAAUACCGCUAGAUAUAUCGCCUAACGCUCUAAUAAUUCCUCAGAUCCAACACGCUGGACCUUUGUACUCUGCCAAUUCAUCAUCUAAAAUGUAUCGUACUAAUUGGCUUUAUACAUAUAUGCAUGCAAAUGCUUGACUAAGACAUUUUACUAGACACCCCUUCAAUGGAAAACGAACACCAAAACAUAUAGCAGCACAACAUGAGGAAAAUGGGUCCUUCUUUCUCCAUUCUAAAACCGUGAAAACAAUUAGACCUCGCACUUACGACGAAACAUGCUUUAGUAUUUCCGCUCCACAUCUACCUUUCACAUAUUAUCCAUUUAUCCAACUUUUAUGAAAUAGUUUUCUUGAGUUAACAUUCACAUAAUUAUAGAUUUAUGAUCCUCCAUGGUAACGAUAAGUUGUGUGCGGAGUUGGGUUGCAGGAGUAGCACUGACGAUUCUGUUUUUAUGUGGUGUAUAUUGCAAACUAAACAACCACAUAAAGCAGCGUUACGAGAAUUUU